CCAUAUCAGGUAACUUUUGGCUUGGCUUUUGCAAAAUGUUCUUUUUGACUUGAAAUAGAGUGUAUAGUUUUUACACACGGAUUUGAGGUUGUUUGCAAAUAUAUAGAUAUGUCAUUUUCAUCCGGAGUUUUAAUUGUUUGUUCAGUUUUUCACAUCUAAAAAGACCAGAUGGUGUUUGUAAAUGCAAACUCAAGUUCGCAUAUUGUUAGGCUUCAAAACUAUACCUCCUUGGUGCUCAAGUAUCACUAAUCUGUUUGAACAUGAACUUCAAAGUUGUUCAAUUGGCAUUUCAAAAUGAUAAUAUAUAUAGUCUGUAUGUAUAUAUUAUGUUUGACAUGAAUCUCUAGUACCAUUCCCAUAAGUUUCAUCUUGCUUUCUAUUUGUGUUUCAUUGUCAUUUAUAAUGACUUUUUAAUUCGACCUGAAAAAUAACUAAAUUAUCAAAAACUAAAUCAUUGUAGUUUGUUUUGUGUUAUGUUAUUGUAUUACAGUUAUUAAAGAUAUGGUGCUUUGUUACUGUUAGUUGAUUCAUGAAUUUACAUUUGAUCGACAAACAUGAGAGAAGCUAGCUUAAUGUAGUAUUUCAUGGCUUUACAGCCCUUCUCUUCUUUUUCUUGUUUAAAUUUUAGAUUUUGUUGCAUUAUAGGUCUCUGAGAUGCAGAUGGAUCUUUCACUUCAUUCUUGCUAUGCACACUCUUAGAUGUUCUCUUCCUUUCUAACUGACCUAAUCAUAUAUCUUGAACACACUUUACCUUCAGGAAUUGUUGAAA
RNAcentral lists this unclassified non-coding RNA (769 nucleotides) under Hevea brasiliensis (rubber tree). The record is from RNAcentral. Lineage: Eukaryota; Viridiplantae; Streptophyta; Magnoliopsida; Malpighiales; Euphorbiaceae.